CAGUCGCCGCGGGAAUACGAAGGGUGCAAGCGUUAAUCGGAAUUACUGGGCGUAAAGCGUGCGUAGGCGGUGAGUUAAGUCUGCUGUGAAAUCCCCGGGCUCAACCUGGGAAUGGCAGUGGAUACUGGCUCGCUAGAGUGUGUCAGAGGAUGGUGGAAUUCCCGGUGUAGCGGUGAAAUGCGUAGAGAUCGGGAGGAACAUCAGUGGCGAAGGCGGCCAUCUGGGACAACACUGACGCUGAGGCACGAAAGCGUGGGGAGCUAACAGGAUUAGAUACCCGUGUAGUCCCUGUCUCUUAUAC
Molecule: ribosomal RNA, 301 nt
Filed under: uncultured bacterium
Lineage: Bacteria
Description: partial 16S ribosomal RNA
Rfam family: Bacterial small subunit ribosomal RNA
Source: RNAcentral